CAGGAUCAUGAGGGAGUGGGCCAAGAAGGGGCUGUGGAAAAGCUGGUGAUGCUCUUUACUUCUGACUUGAAAAUCCUCGCUGCUCUGGAUGAGGAGGAGCCACGUGGCAGAGGGGUCUUUCAGCGUACAUUUUUUUCAAGUCUCACCCAGUUGUGGGGCGAAGGUGGAAAAUGAAUUGAUUUACUAUGUUCAUGAUGAUAGUGAGGAGCUUCUUGACAAUUUCACCAUCUUUGCAAAUAGCUCAGAUCUUGGAAAACAGAGUUUGCCCCAAACUCUUUUUGUGGUUGUUGAAUCAGUGAACGAUGAGGCUCCAGUAAUAACAGUCAGUAAAAUCCUUCAGGAAGAAUAGCCCUGAGCUAACAUCUGUGCCCAUCUUCCUCUGCUUUACAUGUGGGACGCCUACCACAGCAUGGCUUGUCAAUCCGUGCCAUGUCCACACCUGGGAUCCGAACCAGUGAACCCCAGGCCGCUGAAGUGGAACCUGCACACUUAACCGCUGCGCCACUGGUCCGGCCCAAGGAGAGAUCAUUUCCAUCUUGACAAACUGGAGUUAGGAAUUGGAGUUAGACCACUUCCAGUGAAUCCUUUGCAUUUUACUUUGAAAUAUGUUCUACUGAGUACUUUUGUGUUCGGGCAGACCAGUGAUUUUUGCGCAUACCUGAUAAAAUAUAUGUGUGUCCACAAGGGGGCUUCAUUUUCUUACUUUUCAACUUUUGCUUUCAAUAAUACUGUACGUUUUGUUUUGAUGGUGUUUUUUAUACCAAAAAUAGAAACACUUGCUUGUUUCUGAUAAACACUUGUCAUCAGUAAAAAGAGAGCUAGGGACAGUAGAAGAAUUAGGGGAGCACAGUCUGAAAUGAUGACUGACGGAGCAGAAGUUCGAAUAAUGGGGUAGUGAAUUCAUGAAUAUUUCACAUCCCUCCUAUGGAACUCAAAACGACGGUCUGGGUUUUUAGAUGGAUAAUAAUUAGGAUUAUACUGGACUAUAAUUAGGUUUAUAAAUCCCAUUAACCUGCUGUUUAAGUUAAAGGUGAAUUAAAAAUAUAUUAUCCCAAUUAAUGUGUUAAUUUUUUCAGAUAUUUAUUCCUUAAACCAUUAUUUCUUUGGUUUUGGAUUACUUUUAAUUCUGAAUUCAAGUUUGGGGGCCGUUGUUUUUCUUCUCCCCAUCUAUCUGAAGUUUCUAUUACCGAUGACUGGGAACCGGAUGAGGCCUCACCCAAACUAACGGGGCUGUUAAAUGAACUAAAUUUGGUUUGAGUGGCAAUGAAGACCUGAGCUUACCAGCUCUUGUUUUGAGUGGCGGGUUUUCCAUCUGUUUUGGAAGAUGGUAUUUUCCAGAGGCAAGAGGGGGCAAAAGCAGUGUUUCACAGAAGAGUAACUACAAUGGAAAACAUGUUUCAUCCAGCUUUUGUAUGCAUGGUGUUGGAAAAAAUUAGUAUCUGCCAGUCAUGGGAAGAGGAAUGGCGAUACAUUUCCAAAUCAGUCUGAGUUCUUGAAGAAAUGAGACUCAGAUACAUGGAUGGAUUUUAAAAUGUAAAAAGUGAAAAACUAGAAUGAGCGGGCUUGGAAUUUUGUGAAACAGUCUAAUUUGUGUAUUUUAUAGAAACUGUAGCUUUUCCGUGGAGUAACUGAAGGCCAAAAUUUUAUAAUUUAAACCUUAAGUUGAUUUGCAUUUCUGACAGAUAUUAAAAAAUUGGUGUACUUAGAGUUUAGGGCUGAAAAAUCCUGAGUGGGCAUAUUCAAAACGCCGAGAUAUAGGAGCAUCCACUGACAACACAGUGACUAAACAGAUAACUACUCACCACAAAUUGUGGAGGAAUGCCAUGGGAUUAAACAAAGUCUGCAGUACUCGUUACAGAAUGGCCCCU
Equus caballus (horse) is the source of this 1868-nucleotide long non-coding RNA. The record is from Ensembl. Lineage: Eukaryota; Metazoa; Chordata; Mammalia; Perissodactyla; Equidae.